Molecule: ribosomal RNA, 484 nt
Filed under: uncultured bacterium
Lineage: Bacteria
Description: partial 16S ribosomal RNA
Rfam family: Bacterial small subunit ribosomal RNA
Source: RNAcentral
AUUGAACGCUGGCGGCAGGCCUAACACAUGCAAGUCGAGCGGAUGAAGGGAGCUUGCUCCUGGAUUCAGCGGCGGACGGGUGAGUAAUGCCUAGGAAUCUGCCUGGUAGUGGGGGAUAACGUCCGGAAACGGGCGCUAAUACCGCAUACGUCCUGAGGGAGAAAGUGGGGGAUCUUCGGACCUUACGCUAUCAGAUGAGCCUAGGUCGGAUUAGCUAGUUGGUGGGGUAAAGGCCUACCAAGGCGACGAUCCGUAACUGGUCUGAGAGGAUGAUCAGUCACACUGGAACUGAGACACGGUCCAGACUCCUACGGGAGGCAGCAGUGGGGAAUAUUGGACAAUGGGCGAAAGCCUGAUCCAGCCAUGCCGCGUGUGUGAAGAAGGUCUUCGGAUUGUAAAGCACUUUAGGUUGGGAGGAAAGGCAGUAAGUUAAUACCUUGCUGUUUUGACGGUACCAACAGAAUAAGCACCGGCUAACUUCGUG